AAGUCGUAACAAGGUUUCCGUAGGUAUGUAUUGAAAACCCCCAUACUUCCGUCAAUCUUUUCAACCAAUUCUAACAUUCAAUCACAGGUGAACCUGCGGAAGGAUCAUUAAGGAGUGAGGGUCCUCUGGGCCCAACCUCCCAUCCUAUGUUGUCAAAACACCAGUUGCCUCGGCGUCUUGACCGACGCCAGAGGACAGUUCAAACACUCUCAAUCAAAACGUUUUGUCCGAGUACAAAGAUUUAAAUAAAAUCAAGA
Molecule: unclassified non-coding RNA, 257 nt
Filed under: plant metagenome
Description: partial contains small subunit ribosomal RNA and internal transcribed spacer 1
Source: RNAcentral